RNAcentral lists this long non-coding RNA (202 nucleotides) under Nicotiana benthamiana. Its description in RNAcentral is "long non-coding RNA (NBEN_LNC009319)". Lineage: Eukaryota; Viridiplantae; Streptophyta; Magnoliopsida; Solanales; Solanaceae. The record is from RNAcentral.
GUACCGCCACUCCUACGACAGGUAUAUCCGUUAUAUCCUGGGAGGAAAUAAUCCACAACCUCGGGUACAGUGAGGGGGUUAAAUUCCUUAAGGACACACGGUGAAUUCUGUGGUCUCGGAUUUCUUCAUUUCUGUGAUUUCUGUUUUUUUUGUGUCUCUUCUUCUUACUGGUUUCCAGUUUCUCGUUGCUUUGAACACGGAC